ACCUCUCCAAACUUCGUCCAACUCUCAUAAAGAGUCCCCACCAGCAGACCAGUGGCUUGGAGCCCAGUGGGUGCCCAGUGCUGGAUGGAGAAUUCAGCCCUGGCCCCCAGCUGUUGCCCUUGAGGUUUAUACAGCUGCUGGGGACAGCAGGGGGAGCGAGGGGUUGGGGGCACAGCUUUGCAAGCGCCUCGGUCCCGCAGCAGGGUCAGAGGUGGACGCGUUUGGGCUAAAAGAGGAACAGGUCCCAUGGAAGCUGGGGAGCCCCUUCAGCAUGCCAAAAAGCCCAACACCACAGCAGGAAAAUCCACGGCAAGGUGCUGGUUUCUCCUUACCCAGCUGCCUCCUGCAUCCCUGGGCUCCAGCAUCUGCCGCGGGCAGGCGGCCGGGCGACUCCAUCCCCUUGGCGACCCAUGGGACCACAGGGGACACGAGCCGAAACACACUGAACCUUGAAACUAAAGAAGCCUCAAACCUGUCAUUAAAGCAGCUGCAUUGGCAAUAAAUUUAGUAUUUAAAGAAGUUCGUCGACUGUUUAAAAUGCAGCGAGAGUAGCUAUGGGAACAACUUCAACAGGGUUUUAUCGUGCUGAAACGUGACCCUGUAAAGACAUGCAGAAAGGCUCCUGGAAGCACUGACACUUUUUCUCUCAAAGGAAAGAGUUAAGCCUGUUUCAGAUCGGCUAGCAAAAUGAACCAGGAGCAGUCAGGCAGCUCAGUUACAGGCUGUAAAUAUAAAUGAAAAUGCAUUGGCUUUGUGAGAUUGCAGGGGGGGAAACAAAACAAAACAAAACACGACAAACACAACAGACUGUAAAUUUAGAUCUGGGAUAUAAACAAAGUGCUUUUUCUUUUGAAACAUUUGGAAAAUACAUUGAUGUUAUCUGAAUAUAUGACAGUAGAAGUAGUGGUAAUAACAUGUUUUAAAAACUGAAAAAGGUGAAAAAAUGCCAUGUAAGGCUUUUGGGAAACAAAACACUUUUCUUAGUGAAAGGAGCAGGAAUAAAGGGAAAACUGAAAAUAUUUAUCUUUCCGAU
RNAcentral lists this long non-coding RNA (1033 nucleotides) under Anas platyrhynchos platyrhynchos (common mallard). RNAcentral describes it as "lncRNA (ENSAPLG00000024790.1)". The record is from RNAcentral. Lineage: Eukaryota; Metazoa; Chordata; Aves; Anseriformes; Anatidae.